Molecule: ribosomal RNA, 482 nt
Filed under: uncultured bacterium
Lineage: Bacteria
Description: partial 16S ribosomal RNA
Rfam family: Bacterial small subunit ribosomal RNA
Source: RNAcentral
AUUGAACGCUGGCGGCAUGCUUUACACAUGCAAGUCGAACGGUAACAGGCCGCAAGGUGCUGACGAGUGGCGAACGGGGGCGUAAUGCAUCGGAACGUGCCCAGUCGUGGGGGAUAACUACUCGAAAGAGUAGCUAAUACCGCAUACGAUCUAUGGAUGAAAGCGGGGGACCGUAAGGCCUCGCGCGAUUGGAGCGGCCGAUGUCAGAUUAGGUAGUUGGUGGGGUAAAGGCUCACCAAGCCAACGAUCUGUAGCUGGUCUGAGAGGACGAGCAGCCACACUGGGACUGAGACACGGCCCAGACUCCUACGGGAGGCAGCAGUGGGGAAUUUUGGACAAUGGGCGAAAGCCUGAUCCAGCAAUGCCGCGUGAAGGAAGAAGGCCUUCGGGUUGUAAACUGCUUUUGUAAGGAACGAAACGGUUCUGGUUAAUACCCGGAGCUAAUGACGGUACCGAAAGAAUAAGCACCGGCUAACUACGUG